UACGUAGGGUGCGAGCGUUAAUCGGAUUCAUUGGGCGUAAAGGGCGUCUAGGUGGCAUAGUAAGUUGGAUGUGAAAGCCUGCAGCUCAACUGCAGAAUUGCAUCCAAAACUGCUAAGCUUGAGUCCAGGAGAAGGGAACGGAAUUCUCAGUGUAGCGGUGAAAUGCGUAGAUAUUGAGAAGAACACCAGUGGCGAAGGCGGUUCCCUAGACUGAGACUGACACUGAAGCGCGAAAGCCAGGGGAGCGAACGGG
This 253-nucleotide ribosomal RNA is filed under the name uncultured microorganism. RNAcentral describes it as "partial 16S ribosomal RNA". It matches the Rfam family "Bacterial small subunit ribosomal RNA", at positions 524 to 776 of the family's 1533-position model. The record is from RNAcentral.